AUACGGAGGGUGCAAGCGUUAUCCGGAAUCAUUGGGUUUAAAGGGUCCGCAGGCGGUCAAUUAAGUCAGAGGUGAAAGCCCAUCGCUCAACGAUGGAACUGCCUUUGAUACUGGUUGACUUGAGUUAUACGGAAGUAGAUAGAAUAAGUAGUGUAGCGGUGAAAUGCAUAGAUAUUACUUAGAAUACCGAUUGCGAAGGCAGUCUACUACGUAUAUACUGACGCUGAGGGACGAAAGCGUGGGGAGCGAACAGGAUUAGAAACCCCAGUAGUCC
Molecule: ribosomal RNA, 274 nt
Filed under: uncultured bacterium
Lineage: Bacteria
Description: partial 16S ribosomal RNA
Rfam family: Bacterial small subunit ribosomal RNA
Source: RNAcentral